UUAAGUUCAGCGGGUAAUCCUACCUGAUUUGAGGUCAAAUGGUCAAGUAUUGUCCUUGCGGACGGUUAGAAGCUGGAAGGCUUAUAUACACGCUAACGACCCAAAAGGCGUAGAUAAUUAUCACACCAAUAAGGCUGAAGGCGCAAACCCAGCUAAUGUAUUUCAGAGGAGCCGACUUUAAAAAGCCCGCAACCUCCACA
This 200-nucleotide unclassified non-coding RNA is filed under the name Pleurotaceae sp. Its description in RNAcentral is "partial internal transcribed spacer 2". The record is from RNAcentral. Lineage: Eukaryota; Fungi; Basidiomycota; Agaricomycetes; Agaricales; Pleurotaceae.